This is a long non-coding RNA of Solanum tuberosum (potato), 10920 nucleotides long. RefSeq lists it as uncharacterized. NCBI's taxonomy places the organism in Eukaryota, Viridiplantae, Streptophyta, Magnoliopsida, Solanales, Solanaceae. The record is from RefSeq and is a predicted model, not a curated record. The transcript has 4 exons.
ACAAAAAUACUCAAGAAACUGAUUUGAAGAAUAAAAAUUGAGUGAACUUAUGAAAUUCCUACUAUGUAUUAAUUUGCAUAAGAUCUGAAUUUAUACAAGGAAAAACCUAACCAUUUCCUAUCUAGUAGCCACUAACAACCAUAAAAGGGGCCACUAACAGCCAUUAAAGGGGCCACUAACUUCAGAAAGUUGAGCAACUAAAGUUGACUAAGUCUAGCUUAAAAAUAGGAAGCACUAAACUGAAAUAAGUAAAAAACAGUAAAAAUAAUAAGCUGGGAAAAAUGCCAAUUUUCUAACAGAUACUGGGUAAUUAUUGUUGAUCAGGGUAAUAAUGUUUGAUUAAGAUGUGGGUAAUUACUAUUUGAUCAAGAUAAUGGGUAAUUAUUGUUUGAUCAAGAUAAUGAGUAAUUAUUGUUUGAUCAAGAUAUGGGUAAUUAUUGUUGAUUAAGAUAUGGGUAAUUACUGUUUGAUCAAGAUAAUCGGUAAUUAUUGUUGAUUAAGAUAUAGAUAAUUAUUGUUUGAUCAAAGAUAAUGGGUAAUUAUUGAAUAUUGUUCUCUUCGGAAGAUGAGCUGAUGCCUUCCUUCGGGGAGUUCUUCGAAAGAUGAGUUGAUGCCUUCCUUCGGGGAGUGAUCGCUUCUGCAAUGAUUCCGCAAUUCAAAAAGUCUUUUUUGAUGUGCCUGUAGUAGCAUAUGUGUUUGGUUUUUGAUUUCUUUGCUAUCUCAGAAUUAUAUAAAUCUCACGUUAUCUACUUUUGAAUCUAUGGAAAUCUUUGAUCAUCUCUUUAGAGAAGGAACGUUAGGGGUUUGGGGAGUUCUUGACCUUUUCAGUUUGCAAUUAGUUAUGUAUUUUGCUAAUUUAUUGAUUCGUUAUUGUUGUUUGUUUGAUCAGGUAUGGGUAAUGAAGCUUGCUGUUACUGUUACCUGCAUCUCAAUGCUAAUUCUGCUGUUUUUGUUCUGAGAAUUCGUGUGUUUUGUCAUACUCUGAAACCUAGCAAUUUCCUUUUGUUGGAUCAGAUACGAGUAGAAUUGGAAAUUUGGCUCACCAGGCAUUGCCUACUUGGAUUUGGAUCUUCUAGUCUAGUGGAGCUAUCAGUUUGAAUUUGAUAUCUUGACUUCCAUCUUUAAUGCUAAUUAUGAUCUCCUCGCAUCAACUUCUUUUACCUUGUUAUUUUGUUUGGUCAAGAAUACAUAGAUGGGCAUCUAGGUGCAAGUGGUUCUACAGGAACAAGUGUCUUGCUAUGGUGUUUGUGGUCGGAAAGAUGCGGCAGUUCCCAGGUCUGUGACUAAAGGUUUUGGAGUGUCCAGUCUCUCAAAGCUUUGCUCAAAACUGGUACGAAAUGGAAGUUCUCAACUGGGAUAAUUCUUUUCACAAGUGUGUAUAGUGUGUUCUGCUGCCAGAUAGUUUUAGUUGUUAGUUCAAAUGCUCGUGUUCUUUGAUGAUCCUGGUGUCUUAUGGUGUUAUAGGCACUUGAUAAAGUCAAAAGUCAAUGCUGGAUCUUUGAUAGUGCUGUAAUGUGCUCUUCUACUACUUAUCAUCUCGCUGUUUUCGCUUUGUUAUCACGCCAGCUGGUUUUGUGUUCAUUGGUGAAUGAAUGUGUAGACCACAUGGUGACAGUAACAAGAGUAGUAGUUUUGGGAACUUCUAAGGAUUGUAUCCGGUAUGCAUUCAUGUGCUCCUUGUUUAUUGGUUUUUUUGGUCCUUGCACUCCAAGAUGGAUAUUGUUAGGCUUCAAUCAAAAUGGGGGUUCUUGAUCUUGUCUCUUGCAUCUCUAGUGAUUUCUUAGGUGAUAUGGGGAACUUCUAAGGAUUGUAUCGGUAUGCAUUCCUGUGCACCUUGUUUAUUGGUCUUCUUGGUCCUUGCACUUCAAGAUGGAUAUUGUUAGGCUUCAACCAAAAUGGGGUUCUUAGUCCUUGUCUCUUGCAUCUCUAGUGAUUUCUUAGGUGAUACGGGUUCUGUCAGCUUUGCACUUAACUGGUCCCUUCUUUUAGUGCUUGCAGUUGGGUCUUACCGAGCAGUGAAUUUUUUUUUCAUGGAGGGGCUUUGCUUGGCCAUUUGUGUAGAGGUUUCUUAGUUCAGAUAAUUGUUAGUAUUGAGGUACUCAUUUCAGUUUUUUCCCCAAAUCAGAGUGGUCCCUUUUCUCUUUGUCAAAAAUUGCUGCUGCAUGGAAAUUGCCAAAAGCUAAGAUAGUUUUUCCUACACACUCUGGAUGCAUAUGUUCCUUGAUGAUCCAGUUGAUGAGAUUGCUGGUGGUUGAUGGGUAUAUGGUCUUAUUGAAACCUGAUAAAUACUCGGAACUCAAUCCUAGAUCUUUUGACAGCCCGGUCAAGUAGGUCCCUGUUGAACCCUCUCUUUUGGUGUUCUCUCUGCGUCAUCUUCUCUGGUUCCUUUUUCUUGCUUCACCCCAGCUUGAUUUUGUUUGUUGGAUGGAUGCCAGUUAAGAGGACUAGAUUUGGAAAAUUUUGAAGGUUGAUGCUCAGUGUCCGUUCCUGUGCAUGCUGUUUCCUUGCCAUUUUUGUGCUUGCACUGCAAUCUGAGUAUCAUCAGGCUUCGAUAGAGGGUUUUCCAAUAUUUUUUCUUUGCCAUUUUUUGUGCUUGCAUUGCAAUCUGAAUAUUAUCAGGUCUUCGAGAGAGGGUUUUGUCAGCUUUGCAUGUAACCCUUCCCUUCAUUCCUUUGCUUGCAGCCAUUGGGUCUUACAAAGCAGUGAAUUCUUAUUUUCAUGGAGGUACCUUAUAAACCUCCAUAGGUGUUGAGGUUUCGUUAGUCAGUCUUCUAUGAGUAUAGAUAAAUUUCUCUUCCCUACUGACUCAUUUGUCUUUGUCAUAACUAUUGUUGUAUGGUAGUUUCUCAAUUAGGACAUUAUUUUCACCAAUGUGUGUUGUAUUUUGCUGCCAUGGAGUUCUUAAUUCAGAUGCCUAUGUUCUUAUGGUGCUACAAUUGAUAAGGUCUCUUAUGGUGAUGAGGUCUCUUACUCUCUUAUGGCUAUGGAUGCCUGAUAAGGACUUGACCAAUUCUAGAUCUUUCUAUAGUGGCGGAAAAUACUUCUGAACUUUUGUUCUUUUAGCUACUUAUCAAACUGCUCUCAUUUUUUUCGUUAUAUCACUAGUUUUUUUUGGUUGUCUGGAUGUGUAGACCAUGUGGUGACACUGUUAUGGACGUUCAGAUUUUGAAAUUUCAAAGCUUGGUUAACCAACACGUGAUCCUUUGCUUCCUUUUUUGGUCUUUUUGGUGCUUGCAUUGCAGUCUGGAUGUUUUCGGGGAUUUGACAAAAUGGGGUUUUCAGUCUCAUUUAUGGCAUCUCUAGUGAUUACUUAGGUGUUUGGGGUUCGUCAGGUUUGCUCUGAACUGUUCCCUUCUUUCUGUUCUUGCAGCCAUUGCCCAGGGCAGUGAAUUCUUUUUUUCAUGGAGCGGCCGUGUGUUUUGUUGGUUUGCGUUGAUGUUUCUUUUGCCAAGUCUUUUAUGAGCAUGGAGUUUUCGAUUCAAUUUUCUUCCCUAGUGGCCCUUUGUCCUUAUCAAAACUAGUGUUGUAUGGAAGUUUCUCAACUAGGACAACGUAAUUCACCGGUGUGUGUUGUAUUCUGCUGUCAUGAAGUUUAGUCCAGACGCUUAUGUUCUUCGAUUAUCCAAUUGAUGAGGUCUUCUAUGGCAUAUGGACCCUUGAUAAGUACUCGUCCAAGUCUAGAUCUCAUUUGAUAGUGGCAUAAAAUACUUUUAUACUUUUGUUCUGUAGCUACUUACUUAUCUUCCCUGUAGACCAUGUGGUGACACUGUUAUGGACGUUCAAAUUUGGAAAUUUCAAAGCUUGGUUUACCAACAUGUGAUCCUCUUCCAUCUUUUGGACUUUUUGGUGCUUGCACAACAAUCUGGUUAUUGUCCGGGCUUCGACAUAAGGGGCUUUUCAGUCUCGUCUAUGGCAUCUCUAGUGAUUACAUAGGUGAUUUGGGGUUCGUCAGAUUUGCACUCAACUGUUCGUUCCCUUCUUUCUGUUCAUGCAGCUAUGGUUACAAGGCAAUGAAUUAUUCUUUCCAUGGAGUGGAUGUGUUUGCCUGUUCGUGUUAAGGUUUUUUUCAGUUUAAGUUUUUAUGAGUAUCAUGAUUUUCGAUUAAGUUUUCUUCAGGAGUUUCUUGACUAAGAUAAUAUUUUUCACUUGUGUGUGUUGUUAUUCUGCUGCCGUGAAGUUUUUAAUGCAGACACUAUGUUCUUCGAUGAUCUAAUUGAUAAGGUCUCCUAUGGCUAUGGACAUUUGAUAAGUGCUCAUCCAAUUUUGGAUAUUUUCCUUAGACAGCGCCAUAAAUGCUCCUCUACAUGUGGUCUUCUAGCUACAGAUAUUUCGGUUAUCACAACUUUAGUUUUUUUGUUUGGAUGGAUGUGUAGACUAUAUGGUGACAGUAAUAGAGGUUAAGUUUUGGAGAUUUCAAAGGUUGAUAUCCAGUAUGGUAUCUCUGUACCCUCUUGGUGUUUUUGGUUCCUGCACUGCAAUUUUGAUAUAUUGGUCAGAGCUUCAACAAGUUUAAAAUCUUGUCCAUAUGGCGUCUCUAGUGAUUUCUUAGACGGUAUGGGUUUCAUCAGUUUUGGACUUGAUUGUACCCUUCUUUUUGUGCUUGCAGCCAUUGGGUCUUACAGAGCAAUGAAUUAUUCUUUUCAUGGAGCGGCUCUCUUUGUCAGUUGAGAGGAAUAAACUUGGAAGAUUUUGAAGGUUGGUGGCCUGUGUGCAUUUCUCUGCAUCCUGUUUCUUGGCCAUAUUGGUGCUUGCACUUCAAUCUGGAGAUUAUCAUGCUUUGAAAGAAGGCGGUUCUCAAUUUUGUCUGGCAUUUGUAGUGAAUUCCUUGGUGGUAUGGUCUUUGCCAGAUUUGCACUUGAACUUCUUCCAUUCUUUCUGUGCUUGCAGCUGCUGGGUCUUACAGAGCGAUAGAUUCUUCUUUUCAUGGAGUGGCAUGAUCUGUCAAUUUAGUGUUGAGGUUUAUUGUUUGAUGCUCUAAUGAUUGAGAUCUUCAAUUCAAUCUUCUUCCCUAAACAGAAUGGUUCACUUCUCUCUUGUCAACACUGCUUCACUAGUGUGUAUUUUGUUGUGAUAUUAUUUUUUUAAUAAUCCAGAUGCUUAUGUUCUUUGGUGAUCCAACUGAUGAGAUCUCCAUGGUUAUGGACAACACUUGAUAAGAGUAUUCAAACUCAAUCAUGUUCUUUUGAUGGCCCUGUACUUCUCGUGUUCUCGCUACUUACCUUCUCUGAUUUCGUUUGGAGAUUUUAUAGUAUGGUUUGGGUGUGCAUCCCUCUGUGGACCAUGUUUCUUGCCAUUUUGGUGCUUGCACUGCAAUCUGUUUAUUGGAUAUCACCAGGCAUCAAGAACAGGGCACUUUGCAAUAUUAUCUUGUUUGGCAUCUCUAGUGUUCUCUCCUGCAUGGUAUUUUCCACUUACCUGUUACGUUCUUUUUGUGCAUGCAAUGGUUGGGUCUUCCAGAGCAUGAACUUCAACUCAGAUUUCUUCCGAAUCAGCAGGUCCCUUUUUCUUUGUCAAAACCUACGGUUGUGUAAAAGUUCUCAAGAAUCAUAAUAUUUUUCACUAGUGUGUGUUGUACUCUGCUGCCAUGAAGUUUUUAGUCUAGAUGCUUUUUCUUGGACUUAUCCAAAUGAUGAUGAGAUCCCUGAUUGUUAUGGACACCUGAGAAGUACCCAAGCUCAAUUUUAUAUCUUCUUAUGGCCCGAUGAGCUCCUUCUACUUCGGUGUUCAUGCUACUUAUCUUCUCUGUUUCUAUUUUCUUAUGCUUAUCCCGCUACUUGAUUUGGUUUGUUUGGAUGCAUGUUUGUAGACCACAUGGUAACCAUGAGGGGAUCAGAUUUGGUAAUUUCAAAGUUUGGUCUCAGUGUGUGUCCUUCCCUUGUGCACCUUGUUUCUGUGCCAUUUUGGUGCUUGCACGGCAAUUUGGAUAUCACCAGGCACUGGCAAGGGAGUUACACAAUCUUGUCUGGCACCUCUAGUGAUCUCUCCUAUGUUGCAUGGGUUUCGCAGCUUCAACUCUAUCUGUUCCCUUCUUUUUGUGCUUGCUGCUGUUGGGUCUUUCAAGAUCAGUGAAGUCUUCCUUUCAUGGAGCAGCCUUGUUUGUCUAAGCGUUGAAGUUUUCCUUAGUUCAGGCUUUGUAUUAGUACCUAGCUCUUUGAUUAAAUUUUCUUCCCUAGUCAUAGAGAUCCCCUUAUCUCGUUGGCGGAAGUGCUGUUAAGCGGAAGUUUUCAAUCAUGAUAACUCUCUCCACAAGUGCAUUUUCAGCUUUUAGUCCAGUUGCUUUUGUUUUGCGAUGAUCCAACUGAUGAGUUAUCUUAUGGUGUGGAUCUCUGGUAAGUACUCGCUCAGUUCUGGAUUUUCCAUCAUCUACCUUUUGUGUUCUUGCUGCUUAUCUUCUCUGCUUCCAUUUUCUUUUUGCUCAUCACACCAGUUUGAGUUUUUUCUGUUGGAAGGAUGUAUAUACCACAUAGUGUAUGUGUAUUGGAGGAGUAGAUUUGGAAAUUUAAAAGCUUAGUGUUCAGUAAGCUGGUCGUUUAGGUGCUUGCACUGCAAUCUGGAUAUCGUUAGGGCUUUGAGGGAAAGGGGGUUUCUAAAUCUUUGCAUUUAACUGUUCUUUCUGUGCUUGUAGCUGUGUUCUUAAAGAUCUAAUCUCUCCUUUUUGUGGAGCAGCCUUUGUUGAUUUAUGUUGAGGUUUCGUUUGGUUCAAGCACCUGUAAGUGUUCGGUUUUCAGUUUGGUUCUCUUCUCUAAUCAGUAUUUUAUCUUUUCUCACCACACUCUUUUCAAAGUGGUGAUCUUCUAGUAAUUCGUUAAAAUUAAAAUUUUACAUGUUAGUGGGUUACAGUACAUGAUCAUUUUCAUUCAAUUUCUGGUUCAUUUAUUGGGUGCAGCAUCUGCACCAUAGUCACUACUAUUGUCAGACUAAUUAUUGUUAGGUAAGUGAAGCCUCUUUUUUUUUUUUUGAAGAUCUCUCCCCUAUCUUUUUUUUUUGGAACAUGUGCAUUAUAUUCAGACAUUCAAUCAUUUGACGAGUUGCUUCUGAGUGUUAGCUAUUAUGUAAAACUUUAAUAUAAACUUGGAGCUCCUGCACACCUUUUUUCUCCAUUAAGCAUUGCCAUUUGAACAGUCUUUGCACCAAAGAGGGCAAUUCAUUGAAUCUAGAACAGAUCAAGUAAAAAAACAUGGCUCAUCUUUUGUGUGACAGGUCAUGUACAGUCUUUAUGUAUUUAUAUCACAAAAGUAACUAUUGUUUUCUGUGUAGAAGAUCUUCUCAUGAGAUACCCUUGUAAGUCCAUUACAUAUCAGAUCAUUGUGCAAGUUGGGAAUUUUUUUCUAUGAAUUUUGUUCUUCUAAAUACUCCUCUGAGAUGAGCUUUGUACUAUUUUCUUGAUAUCGUUGAAAUUGCCAUUGAUUAUAGGUAACUGUUGUUCUGUCAUUCUCCGUGUUCUUGAUGUAUGUUUAGUCAAAUGUCACUUCACUGAUUGCAUGUUUCCUAAAAUGUCACUUAACCGAUAAUUUGUUCAGCCAAUGUCACUUCACAAAUCUGUCACUGAUGGUUUCUUUACUUCGUUCUCGUCAUGUUCUAUUACCAGCUAUAAUUCAUUUCUUAUUUCAGAAAUUGUUCCUUGCUCCUUGGAUUUCUUAUAUUGGUGAGUGAUUAGUUGCACAAGUUAAAAGGGGGUCUUCUAAGAAGCCCCACCCAGACCAAGUUUAGACAGUUUUGAAAAGUGCUGCUGUCUUGGCCUUCAUUCAUCAAGUGCAGCUCUCCAUUCAAUCAUUUACGGAGUUGCUUCAGACUGUUAGCCAUUGUGUAAAACCGCACACUGUUUUUGCCAUAAAACAUUGCCAUUUGAACAGUCAAAUAUUGAAUCUAGAGCAGAUCAAGUAAAAAACAUGGCUCAUCUUUUGUGUAACAAGUCAUGUACACUCUUUUAUGUUAUUUAUAUCAACGCAACUAGUUUUGUGUUACCAGAGACGGUUGAUGAUUUUUGGAUAUUUACAGAAUUUGGUAGGUCGGGAUUUGUUGGUGCAGUUGUAUCCGUAAGUUUUCUGAUUUUGCUAUGUAGGUAUGGAGUAUGAGCAGAUCUGUGAGUUGCAGAAAAGAGUGUCUGCAGAAUGCUUGGCCUCCUGUGCUGUGGAAGUGAGACCUGAAGGAUGAGCUUAUGGCGCAGGGAAUCUCUUUCUGGGUUUUGCAAUUUUAUUUUGAAGUUUGAAUUUGCUGUGGAUUCUCACUUUUGUUUGUUUCUCGAGGCAACCAAGGACUUCCUGUUUAGGUUAUGCCAAUCUCUUUCUGGUUCUACCCGAGGCAAUGCUGUAAACCUCAUCUCUGGUACCUGCAGCAGAUCAUCUUUUCUUGAAUCUUCUCCUCGGGAACACUAUUCUGUAGAAGUUUCUGAGCCUUCCCUAGUAUAUGUUGCUCUCUAUAUUCCAUGUUGUUAGGGGAUUGGCUCAUUUACCUCCCAAGUCUUCUGGUUUUCCUUAUCUACCCAUAAGCUUUAAAUGGAGUACAGGUGCUAGAGUAGUGGAAUUUUAAUGUGUUAUCUACCAUAAACACAAGUAUUAGUUGGCAGUGAUAUCGUGUUAUCCAACCAAUUAGUUAGGUAGGUUCAUGCAGCUAGCAUGAGAAGGGAUGAGAUUAAGGAGUUUCUGAAAAGCGAUCAGUUAUAGUCUUUUACAAUGGUUUUGAUAAUGUUAGACUCCUGUUUUUUACAUUUUUGUUGUAUUUGCUCAUUUGGAUCUCUUACCUAUAAAACAGCACUACAGAUGUGAGUGUACAUUUUUUGAAGUUGAGGAAGGUAUUAGCAUCUUGAAGUAGCUAGGAUAGUUUGGCUUCUGUUUGUCAUGGUAUUUCUUUUCUAAAUAUGGCCAUUGAAUGGGGUAUUUCUGUUUUCUUUGAGCUCCAGUUCGAAUUUGCGAGAUAAUUUGAGGGGGGUAUUUCUCUUUUUUAAGCUCCAGUUGUUCAAUUUCCAGAUAACUCUGAAUGGGGUAUUUCUGUUCUUCUAAGCUCCAGUUGUCUAAAUUUGCCAGCCAAGAGUUAUCAGCCUCAAGAUGUUGCGUUGGAGUAACUGUUGGUCCAGCUUUGUUCCUCUUUUCCCUCAAGCACUUGUAGCUACUUUGAUAGCAUUAGAAUUAAAAGGGAAUAUAUUUUUCUGCUAAAAUACACGGAUUCAGUUCCAUAUAAGUGGAUUUGAUCUCCAAAAGUGGUGAGAAGUUGGGAGGAUUGUAAAUCGGUUGUUGUGGAGCAUGUUAAACAGAAAAGGACCUGGUAUGCUGUGGAGCAUGUUAAACAGAUAACGUCCUGGAUGAGUGUUCUAUUAGAGCGGCAGUGUCGGUGAUGGAGUUUGAACUAUGAGUAAGAAUUGGAUGUUUUCAGAAUAAUUGUCUCCUCUCACUGUCUCACAUGUAUGAAAUGCAGUUACUGAAUAUAAGUGGUAUAUAGGUACUAUUCUAAAAAGUAUAGGUGUGAAGUAGCUUUCUGUUUUGGGUUGUUAUGAUGAGUUGGGAAUCUCUUUAUUUGGCUCAUCUCACAUGCUUAUUUGGUCUCUUUUGAUUUGGAAGUAGUAUCUUGGAUUUAGUAAAGCUUGAGUUCAGGGAAAACAAGGAGAUACUUUUUCUCAAAACAUGGACUAAUGAAAGUUUAACUCUGAAGAAGCACUUGAUGAAGCAUCCCGAAAUUUUGAUGAAGCACUUGAUUCCAUGUGUGUAGUGAUGGAGCUGGUGCAAAAACUGAUUUCAGGGUACAUAUUGCUCUCUAUGUGCAGAUACUUUGUAGUUCCAGAACUGGAGAAUCUGCUUUCUGGAUAUUAUAUAUAUUUUUUGUUGUUGAAGGUGCUAUGAAAUUGUGGAUGUCACGAAUGCAACUUCUUCAUGGUAUGAGAUGUAUGUUGAGUUCUAAGAUAGAAGUGAUUUUGACGUAGUGGUCCAGUGUUUCUUUCAUUGCACAAUUACCCUUGGGCAAUCUCAUAAAAAGACUAGGACCUGUUGGAGCCAUGACAUUUUUAUUUUUCAUCUGAUAUGCAUCUAUGAAGUAAUAUCUUGUCAUUCGAAGUCAUGUUUUGCACUUGCCAGGGCCGAUAGUUGUCUUUGACAUUUUUACUUUUUAGCAGCGAUGCAUCUCUCAAGUAGUAUCUUGUCAUUUGAAGUCAUGUCUUGCUCUUCAGGGCCCAAAAGUUGUCUAUCAUGUGACAUCAUAUGUGGGAGAAUUUCAUUAUUUGUCCAAAUUAAUUUGUGAGAAUGCUCCAUAGUAUUCUAACAUAGAGUCUUUUCUUCAAUGAGGUUUGCAAAAAUAUACCAGCACUAUGAGUCUGUUCGGUUCUCCAAUUUUAAGUUGUGAGAAUUUUACAAGAUAAUGGAAUACAGUACUUUUCUAGCACCACGACUUAAAGAAUUUUGAUGACUUGUAAUUUUCUCUCUCACUUCUUUCGUAGAAGGGCAGUGCCAAGUCUACUUAACUGCCGAGUCUUUUUGUACAGCAACAACAACAACAGGCCCAGCGCAAUUCCAAAAGUGAUCGCAUAAGUGGGGUCUGGGAGGGAAGGACGUAAGAAGACCUUACCUCUUAACUUUGAGGGACAGAAAGGCUUCUCUGGUAGACCUUGGAGGUGACCCUCGUAACUCCGCCUGUUAAAUCAGCCGGUCCCAAGCCCGGACUAAGGAGGAGGGGAAGGUGUUCAAGUUUGCAAUUAAUUGUCUGUUUUUUUUAAUUAGUAGAAAUGUUUCUGGAGUCGCCUAUGAGCAAUUAUGGCAUCUCUAAUUACAAUUAUCACUUAUUAGUAAUGUACAUCGGAUGAAAUGUAAAGAGAUGCAUUAGGGACUUGUCAUGCAAUUGGUAAUUACAAAUUGUGGCAACUAAAUGCAUUGCAAUCUUGCAGCUGUUGCAAUUUACUUAUGAUUUGCCUUAACACCGGAAUUAUUGUUUCCCUUA